GAGUAUUAGAGUCCUCCUGAAAGGGAAAGGAAUUUAAAACUUUAACCAUAACAAAGUUCUUUAAAAUAACUUAGAGCAAAUGAAAGUCCUAAGAAGACUAGGCUGCAACAUCGUCAUUCCCAUCCAAGGCUAUCUCCAAAGUAACCUCCUCUCAUCUGCUCCCAAAUAAGUGGAUGAUUAUCGCAAAAGAAAACAUACGCAAACAUGGCACAAAC
This 215-nucleotide long non-coding RNA is filed under the name Vigna radiata. Its description in RNAcentral is "long non-coding RNA (VRAD_LNC015482)". The record is from RNAcentral. Lineage: Eukaryota; Viridiplantae; Streptophyta; Magnoliopsida; Fabales; Fabaceae.